Molecule: ribosomal RNA, 500 nt
Filed under: uncultured bacterium
Lineage: Bacteria
Description: partial 16S ribosomal RNA
Rfam family: Bacterial small subunit ribosomal RNA
Source: RNAcentral
AUUGAACGCUGGCGGAAUGCUUUACACAUGCAAGUCGAACGGCAGCACGGACUUCGGUCUGGUGGCGAGUGGCGAACGGGUGAGUAAUGUAUCGGAACGUGCCCAGUCGUGGGGGAUAACGUAGUGAAAAUUACGCUAAUACCGCAUACGAUCUAUGGAUGAAAGCGGGGGAUCGCAAGACCUCGCGCGACUGGAGCGUCCGAUAUCAGAUUAGGUAGUUGGUGGGGUAAAGGCCCACCAAGCCAACGAUCUGUAGCUGGUCUGAGAGGACGACCAGCCACACUGGAACUGAGACACGGUCCAGACUCCUACGGGAGGCAGCAGUGGGGAAUUUUGGACAAUGGGCGAAAGCCUGAUCCAGCCAUUCCGCGUGCAGGAUGAAGGCCCUCGGGUUGUAAACUGCUUUUGUACAGAACGAGAAGGUUUCUACUAAUACUAGGAGCUCAUGACGGUACUGUAAGAAUAAGCACCGGCUAACUACGUGCCAGCCGCCGCGGUAA